This is a non-coding RNA of Equus caballus (horse), 1119 nucleotides long. NCBI's taxonomy places the organism in Eukaryota, Metazoa, Chordata, Mammalia, Perissodactyla, Equidae. The record is from RefSeq and is a predicted model, not a curated record.
GGAUGUCUUACUUUCCUGGGAAGGUUAAUAAAAAUAGUGCUUAAGUGUGAGAAAAUAUUUUUGUACAGCAAUCCAUCCAAAGGAGAGACAUCAGAUGUUAACAACAGAUAAAACAUCAUGGAACUAAGGCAUUGUAAGAGCAGAUUGAUUAAACACUUCAAUUUUCUGAGGAGAAAGAAAUACCUAAGGAGCUGGAAUGGGAUAUGUAACAUACUCCGACGAAAUGAGGAUGUGGUUUACUGAGGCUAUGAGACCCUAAAUGAAGGACCUGAGGAUUGAGCUGACUUCGUGCUCAUUCAUUAUACGUAUUAGGCUAAAAGAAAACAGACAAACAAAUGAUUAUGUCCAGUACAGCAGAUCAAAGAAGGAUCCUCAGAGAAAGUAUGGUGUGGACCAUCUUAUAGCAGUUGUUUUAUUAUAGGUCCUUUGCAUUUCGCCAUAUAUUUUAUAGUCAACUGGCAAACUUCUGAAUCAAAACCUGCUGAGAUUUUAAUUGAGAUGGUCUUGAACUAUGAUCUGUGAAUUUAUAGUUUUAAUCAGGCUCAGUCUAAGUUUUCAAGGAGCCAGUCGGAGAAAAGCAGUAACUCUAGAGCCAUCCAGUGAAGUUGGUGACAGAAUAAUGGCUGCGAAGGCACUUCCCCAAGGGGAACAGUGAGAGAAAGCACAUUGCUGCAUCCUGUGGAGAUGUUCCAGGAUAUCUUCCACAGCAUUGUCCUGGAUGGCUUUAUUAUGAAUUGCUUGCAAGGCUAAAAGAGAAAAAAAAAAAUGUUUCAUGUGGCAUUUCCAUUUGCAACGCUGUUACAUCCAUUAGGAUGAAUGACACAUCAUGUCAUGGGUGGAUUCAUAGAAGAAGAAUUUUUAUCUUUAUGGAAAGAAAUUUGCUAAAUUAUCAGGAUAGGAUAUUGCCAAAUUACCUAAUAAUGAACUCUAUUUUAAAUGCGUCAGCCACAGAAAUAUUUAUAAAAGGUAAAUCAUAUUUUGAAACUUUCUAGCUUAAUGCCUCAGUGGAUUUCCAUUACUCGCAGAAUAAAAUGUACGAUCUUUAAACGUAAUCCAGGGUGCGUACAGUCUGGCUUCUGUUCACCUCUCUAACCUCUCUCAAACCACACUCCCACCUAU